RNAcentral lists this long non-coding RNA (1528 nucleotides) under Fukomys damarensis (Damara mole-rat). RNAcentral's name for it is "lncRNA (ENSFDAG00000026625.1)". The record is from RNAcentral. Lineage: Eukaryota; Metazoa; Chordata; Mammalia; Rodentia; Bathyergidae.
GACCGGGGAUGGACCUCAAAGCUCUGAGAACGGGUAUUCUCUGUGUGCACAGGGGAGCCCAUUUCCUCACACGGGGCCAGCCUGGAUUUCGGCUUUGUCACUGCUUUGAGCUGGCACACACCAACCGGCACACUUCCCUGCCUGUGCAUUUUGGCAGCCUGUGAACAGGAAGUGCGGGGCAGCAGAUUUCCAGGAAUGAAACCCUUCCAACAAAGAAGAAAUGAACUGACAGGAUGAGGGAGGCCAGGACCUUGAGAAACAUGCUGAGCAGUCAAAGGUGUCGAGGGUCAUUUUCCACCUUUGCAAGAUGGAAUAAAUAGUCUUCAGAGAACAGAAAGCCUUCAACAGGGAGGGAGAAAUGUCCGACCAGCAAGAAAAGACCAAUGAAAAAUGAUGAAGCACCUACAAGAAGAGAAGUACUGUUAGAUCGCAGGAAGCUGUGCUCCAGGCAAGUUGAUGCCAACAAAAGACAUGGUACAGACAGAAGCGAUGCCAGGGUGACGGAAAAGCUAGAGCAGCACGCACAGAUCCCUGCGCACAAGAGCACCAACGGCCCCCGAGAAAUCGGGCUUUUGGAAUGUGAAAAAUCCGCGCCUCUGGGAUGGGGCCUCCCCUUAAGCUGGACAUGGCUCAGGACGGACUCGUGCUCCAGGAGGAAGGUGAGAGGCACGUGGCCCAGAGCCCUUCCUGGAUCAGCCACUAAUCUGCAAACUCCAGAGGGCCUUGCCCAUGGAAGGGGAAGCCCAUACUCUGCCAGUGGGCUCCCCUCGUCAUCAAGGUCCUGACUUCCGGCCGAGCCCCAGGACAGCCGCUCUGCAGCCACAGGGUGUGUGCAAGGGUUCGCCACACACCAGGCCCGGAAGCGGGUCAGUAAAGCACAAGUAGUACCACCGUGAGCAAGCAGCGGCCGGAAACUGCAAGUGCCCUCGACCACAGAACUUCCAGGGCCUCCAGCUCACUUCAGAGGAAUAUCUCGGUAUUCAGUGUGAGUGAAACAAAGAGACAACAUACUGUCAUAGGAAGAGGCCUGGGCAGGUCAAUUUCUCCCAAUAAAAAGGGAUAUAAGAUGUUGUCUGGUUCUGGACAUACAGCUCAGUUCAUGAAAAAUCUCCCAGAGUCACCAGCGCCUGAAAGCCACAGAAAAGAUAGGAUGUGUGCAUGUGUAUGUGUGCACGCACACGUGUGUGUCAUGAUAAAUGACCUUUUCCAAGGCCUAAUGUGGGUAAAGAACAGAAUGAGGUGUUUUAGCAAUAAUAUUUGCUCUUGGAGUAAGGUAUUUUGUGUAUAACUAAACUGAAGCAGACCUGCUAAGGAAUAUGCCAUCCCAGGAGUGGGAGCAAACUUAGACAAGCCCUUUGAUCCUGUCUAGACAGCUAGAAGCACUCAUGUUACAUCACAGUGGCAACAAUACUAAAAUGUUCUCUGUCACUGAGUACUUGUGAUUUUCAGAGCGGGGAGAGCUCAGUCAACGGACUGACACAUGAUAAAGUUAAAAGGAAGCCUGUGUUCUAGGAAGAGGUGCUUGUAC